RNAcentral lists this ribosomal RNA (253 nucleotides) under uncultured bacterium. RNAcentral's name for it is "partial 16S ribosomal RNA". It matches the Rfam family "Bacterial small subunit ribosomal RNA", at positions 524 to 776 of the family's 1533-position model. The record is from RNAcentral.
GACAGAGGUGCCAAGCGUUAGGCGGAAUCACUGGGCUUAAAGCGUGUGUAGGUGGAUCGUUAAGUGCCUUGUGAAAUCCCACGGCUCAACCGUGGAACUGCUUGGCAUACUGGCGGUCUUGAGCCAUUCAGGGGCUACUGGAACAAACGGUGGAGCGGUGAAAUGCGUAGAUAUCGUCAAGAACACCUAUAGCGAAGGCAGCUUACUAGGCUGUAACUGACGCUGAGGCACGAAAGUGUGGGGAUCAAACAGG